AUUGAACGCUGGCGGCAUGCCUUACACAUGCAAGUCGAACGGCAGCACGGACUUCGGUCUGGUGGCGAGUGGCGAACGGGUGAGUAAUGUAUCGGAACGUACCUUUCAGUGGGGGAUAACGUAGCGAAAGUUACGCUAAUACCGCAUAUUCUGUGCGCAGGAAAGCAGGGGAUCGCAAGACCUUGCGCUGAUUGAGCGGCCGAUAUCAGAUUAGCUAGUUGGUGAGGUAAAGGCUCACCAAGGCGACGAUCUGUAGCGGGUCUGAGAGGAUGAUCCGCCACACUGGAACUGAGACACGGUCCAGACUCCUACGGGAGGCAGCAGUGGGGAAUUUUGGACAAUGGGGGCGAACCCUGAUCCAGCCAUGCCGCGUGAGUGAAGAAGGCCUCGGUUGUAAG
RNAcentral lists this ribosomal RNA (398 nucleotides) under uncultured bacterium. RNAcentral's name for it is "bacterial SSU rRNA". It matches the Rfam family "Bacterial small subunit ribosomal RNA", at positions 30 to 429 of the family's 1533-position model. The record is from RNAcentral.